Molecule: transfer-messenger RNA, 397 nt
Filed under: bovine gut metagenome
Rfam family: transfer-messenger RNA
About the family: Bacterial tmRNA, also known as 10Sa RNA or SsrA, is named for its dual tRNA and mRNA-like properties. Its role is to liberate the mRNA from a stalled ribosome.
Source: RNAcentral
GGGGUUGUUUGGUUUUGACAGCGGGUAGAAGGAAUGUGUAAGCAUGCAGUGCAUCGUGUGAUUGGCACUUUAAUCUCAGUCCUCAAAAAAUUAAUUGGCGAGAAUAACUACGCUCUUGCUGCUUGAUCGAAGAUCAGUAAAUCGAGCUUAAUCCUGGCACUAGGUGCUGGGACAAGACAUCACUCAGGAACUCUUGCUCCGAAGUAGCCUGAUCAAGUGGUGCAGUCAAAUCGGGGAUAGUCUCCACGGGCCUUGACGUGCGGAUGAAUUUUUAAAGGAUAAGGCGUAGAUUGGCUGUCUUGGGUCUGUCUGCGCUCGAAAACCAAUCCAAGAAUAAGCAUGUAGAAAGCUCAUUUGUUCCUCGUUUGGACGCGGGUUCGACUCCCGCCAGCUCCAC